Molecule: small RNA, 113 nt
Organism: Pseudomonas rhizosphaerae
Lineage: Bacteria; Pseudomonadati; Pseudomonadota; Gammaproteobacteria; Pseudomonadales; Pseudomonadaceae
Rfam family: Pseudomon-1/ErsA RNA
About the family: Functions to regulate the AlgC enzyme. Based on this information, the new name ErsA for the RNA was adopted. Negatively regulates major porin oprD expression responsible for uptake of carbapenem antibiotics, by base pairing with oprD 5'UTR (leading to increased bacterial resistance to meropenem).
Source: Rfam
AUGCUCCUAUGUUGUGUUAAGUGUUGGCAGAUAUCCGGACCCUCAGCGGUUCGGACCUUGAGCCCCAGACUUCCCCCUCCCCAUACGAAGUCCGGGGUUUUUUUUGCCUGGAU